RNAcentral lists this ribosomal RNA (125 nucleotides) under Neofusicoccum parvum. RNAcentral describes it as "partial 18S ribosomal RNA". Lineage: Eukaryota; Fungi; Ascomycota; Dothideomycetes; Botryosphaeriales; Botryosphaeriaceae. The record is from RNAcentral.
CGUGCGGAGGACCGCGGCCCGCCAAAGCAACAGAGGUAGGUACACAUUGGGUGGGAGAGUCGAGCCAGAGCUCGAAUCAACUCGGUAAUGAUCCUUCCGUAGGUGAACCUGCGGAAGGAUCAUUA